Non-coding RNA from Chrysemys picta bellii (western painted turtle), 4140 nucleotides. The record is from RefSeq and is a predicted model, not a curated record. Lineage: Eukaryota; Metazoa; Chordata; Testudines; Emydidae.
UCCCCGCCCCUCCCCGCCGGAGUUCUCGCGAGGGUGGUAGCUGCCGUCCCCGGGUGUCGCGGCCGGGUUCGCACGGCCUUUCUGACCCCGGGUCACUCCCCACCUCGCAGGAUGGCGGCCCCCGGCUCUGAGGAGGACAAGGCGGCGGCAGGGGGAGGGCCCCCGUGCGUGGGGCGGCGGCGGCGGAGCCGGACGCUGCUGGUGCGGCACCUGCCCGCCGACCUGACGGCCGCGGAGAAGGAGGAUCUGCUGAGGCACUUCGGGGCCGCGUCCGUGCGGGUCCUGUCAGACCAGGGGCGGCUGAAACAUACAGCUUUUGCUACUUUCCCCAAUGAAAAUUCAGCUGUAAAGGCAUUGUCAAGACUGCAUCAGCUGAGACUUUUAGGUCACACUUUAGUUGUUGAAUUUGCAAGGGAACAAGACAAUGUUCAUGUUCUUAGCCAACCUUCACUCUCAGAGAAAAAUAAAAGGUCAGAAGAACCAGUGGAAGAAGAGAGAGAACGAAAAGAGCCAAGCUGUCCUAAAAUAGAGAAUGGAAUUGCUCCCAGCCAUGGGCUAACCUUUCCUAUAAACUCUUGCCUCAAAUAUCUAUAUCCACCGCCUUCAAGUACAAUCCUAGCAAAUAUAGCAAAUGCCUUGGCAAGCGUGCCUAAAUUUUAUGUACAGGUGCUGCACCUUAUGAAUAAAAUGAAUCUGCCCCCUCCCUUUGGACCCAUUACUGCUCGACCACCCAUGUAUGAAGAAUAUUUACCAGCGCCUGUGCCGCCGCCACCUAUCCCACCACUGCCUCCGGAGGAGCCUCCUUUGCCUGAAGAAGAGGAAGAUCAGGAAUCUAGCAGAGAAGAAUCUGAAUAUGAAAGUGCUGAUGAGGAAGAAAAGGAGAGAAUGACUAAAUUGAUGGAAUUAGCAGCCAUUCAGCCUAAAAGACCAAUAUCCACAAAGCAGCGUAGUGUGAGAAAAAAGCAAAAGAUAAAAGACUUGUUGAAUGCUCCCACAUCUGCUCCCCACAGUAAUCUGCACCCUACACUAUCACCUUCGGAUGUGUUUGAGCAGCUGCAAUCUGUUGGUCAUAAAAAAAUUAAAUUCCAAAUUUCUGCAGACAUUCCGGAUGUUCUUCAGAAAAGCUUAGAGAGAGACCAAAACAAUGAUCUUUAUGCAACUUCAGAAGAAAUAACUAAUGCAGGAUUUGGAAAGAUCUUCCCAGCUCCUAGCUCUAAUGAUAAAGAGGACACAGAAGAAGAAGAAGGCGAUGAUGAAAUACCAUCAGAAUUUGUUUCUAGAAGGGAAUUGGAAAAAGGCAGACUUUCUAGAGGAGAAAUGGAAAAACUUUCCAUUUUCAAAAACUAUGAGCCAGGUGAUCCAAACUGCAGGAUUUAUGUGAAGAAUUUGUCAAAACAAGUUCAAGAAAAGGAUCUCAAGUUUAUUUUUGGAAGAUAUGUUGACUUUCAAUCAGAAACUGAACGAAUUAUGUUUGACAUACGUUUGAUGAAAGAAGGUCGCAUGAAAGGACAGGCUUUCAUUGGCCUUCCUAAUGAAAAAUCAGCUACCAAAGCCUUAAAAGAAGUAAAUGGAUAUGUUUUGUUUGAAAAGCCCAUGGUGGUUCAAUUUGCACGAUCUGCUAGACCAAAACAGGAUUCCAAAGAAGAGAAAAGAAAAAGAUAGAACAAUGCUAAAGAAACAUUCCUGCGUAAAUACUGCAGUAAUACUGUCAUGCAGAGUGUAUCCUUUCUUGUUGUAUCCUUUUUUGUGCAAUGUUUUCCAUAGCACUCAAAUACCUCCAAGUUCUCUUUUUAGUGUAGGUGCGGGGAGGAAUUUAUACUCUUUUUACAAUUUUGCAAACCUCUGUUAAAAUAAGUAAGAUAUUUUAAAAUUAUAAAGGGGACUUUUUCAGGGAGAAAGUUAGUGAAUCCGGUCACUUAUUUACUUAGAGGGACACCAUGAAUGUUUCUAGUCUCAAAAUGUGACCUUUCCUCCCUGUUCCUUCUCUAAAUCCAUAUAAUUCUUUAUUUUAUGGGCCAGAUCCUGAACUGGUGUAAAUUGGCCUUGUUCCAUUGACUUCAGUGGUGCUGUGCUGACCUAUAUCAGCUGAUCAGCUGGCCCUAGAUGUUCCUUUUUAAAAAAUAGCAACACCACACUGUGUUAGAAUGUUUCAGUUUUGAUGGGGUGGUUAUAAGCAGAAAACAAUCCUUGACGUUGUCUUUUUAAGUAAUACAUUCAUUUAAUGACAGCUUGUGUCCCAGUUUAUGGGACGCAACCUGCACUUAGUUUCUCUUGUAACUUUUUCCUUUUUUUAGACUAGAGAACAGAAAAUCUAGCAAUGUCUCAUAAUGAAGUAAUGAAGACUGAAGCUAAACUUUAUUCAUUGCUACCUUUGUUUCCCACUUUCUGGUAGUGUUUUAUGGCAACUAAUCUAUAAUUUUCCUGGGGGUUUUGUAUUACAGCAUUCUGUGAUUAACCUUACUUCUUUUUUUAAGUUUAAUAUAAACUAAUACAUGCUGUAUGUAGUAAGCCAAAUUUAGCUGGCUCAGACAUGAUUCACUAAUUUUCUAUAUCUUAAGAUCUUUCAACUUUCCAGUUAAGCUUCUGACAACUGAACACAGUAAUUUUCCAGUCAUUUAUACUUUUAACAUGCCUUUAUAAUGUUCCAGGUUCCUUUUGUGUUCCAUCUCUUUCAAGUGUUACCAAGCCAUGGGAAGAAGCAAUGUGAUCAACAGGACUGUUGAACAGGAACUGAAUGGGAGGCUUCUUCCCCUAACUUGUCGCCUGGGGGAAAUUGACUAGCUCUCUCUAGAGUUUUCAGGAAGAAGUCAAUGAGAUUGUUCAGAGGGUCAACCCCAAGCCUGAUGUAUGUGCUCCUCUGUGUGGUAUUCUGCUCUUUGAAUACUGAAAGCACACUGAGGCUCAGAUUCUAGGACCCUGUGAGGUGAGAGGGUUCUAGAGCCGGGCUGCAGCCCAAGCACGAACAUUUAUGCUACAAUUAAACAGCCCUUUUUCCCGAGCCCUGUGAGUCAGCUGGCACAGGCCAGCUUCCAGUGUCUAGUUGCAGUGUGUAGACAUACACUCAGGGUGCACUGAAGGAUUUCACAAUCACCAUCAUUAAUUGAUCUGGCUUUACUGCAAGCUCAUCUUCCACCUCAUCUCAAAGAACUAGAAAACCUCUGCAAUGGACCCUCCUUUCAAACAUUAACUGAACUGGGUGAAAGUAAGGGCAAAGUUUAUGUUCAGCUUGCUAUUUCGUGCUUAUCCAUUUUAUCUACAUGAUUACUCACUUUGCAAUGGACAAGAACAUGUAACUGUUCUCUUGGAGUUAGGACAGAAUAACCAAUUAUAGUCACAGCCAGCACACACAAACAUUAAAUAGCCAGUCAAUGCUUUAACCUCACUCUUGAUUGCUAGGAUUGCAUGUACAUGUGCAACUCACAGUUAUGAUGUGAAUGUAAUGACAAACUUAACUUUAAAAUCCGAUUGCAUGGUGUAGAAUUGCCUGGCUUUUCUAGCAGUGAUGUAUAAGACAAGGUGUGAUUCACGUGUCCAGGAAAGAAAAAGAUUCCAAAUGCUAUAAUUCUGCCACCCACAUAAGCUGCUUCUGUCCUCUCCAGAGAAAAUCAAAGGUUCAGUGACUUGAUCACAGAUUCUCCCUCUUUGUUACAUACAUUCUCCUCCAAUCAGGGAACAGAAACAACACUAUGUGAUCAAGCAGACCUAGCAUACGAUGAUGAAUCUACAAACUACAGUUCAUAAACAAUUCCUAGGCUGAAACUUGUUCAUAAACUACCCAACAGUUACAGAUAGCCUAUUUUUCUGCUUACAAACUGAUUUUUGUGCUAAAUUUGUGUAAUGAUUCAUUCAAAAUACCUCAGCUCCCAAUUAUGAUUGUGAAUUACAAUAACAGCUGAUGGCAACAGGAUCUGGCAGCAGAAGCUGCGCAAUAUGAACUGGCACACUUUGCAGUUGAACAAGUUCCAAAGAGUACAACUACACAGAAAGGUUGAGGUAGUACUGCCUCACUUGUAUUUUUAUUUCAAGCAAAGGGAGGGUUGUUAUGUAGAAGUCUUUUUUCUUUUUUUUUCUUUUUUUUUUUACAUUUUGGAUAGACCCUUUCCCAUUCCACUAGUUUGUUUGGUGUCUGUAACAUGAUGU